This 387-nucleotide ribosomal RNA is filed under the name Anthopleura thallia. RNAcentral describes it as "partial 16S ribosomal RNA". It matches the Rfam family "Bacterial large subunit ribosomal RNA", at positions 1979 to 2415 of the family's 2925-position model. The record is from RNAcentral. Lineage: Eukaryota; Metazoa; Cnidaria; Anthozoa; Actiniaria; Actiniidae.
AUUGUUGGCCGGUAUGAAUGGCGUCACGAAGGCCCCACUGUCUUAAGAGGACUUUCCAUGAAAUUGAAUUCGUAGUGAAGAUGCUACGUCCAUAUUGUAAGACGAAAAGACCCCAUUGAGCUUUACUAAAAACUUGCAUGGCUCAAAAUAAUUUGAUUUAAAUAAAGAGUUUAGAUAAUGUGGGAUCCGUUUCCGGUUAAUGAAACACCACUCUUUUAUUUUAAAAGAGCUAACAUUGCAUGGAUAAUGUAAGUUGGAUAGUUUGGUUGGGGCGACCACCUUUUAAAAGGUAACGAAGGUGAGCUUAAGGUCCGUAGUUAAUAGCCGGUGGCCUGACUGCAAGGGGGACGUCUCGAGCAGACACGUCCUUAAGGAUGUGGGCUAUAG